UGUUUAUAAUUAUGCUGUAAGGCUUGAAGCAUUUUCCUCUCUCUCUCUCUCCAACAACUUGCAUAUAGCAAGCUGUAUAUAACCAUAUUCAUGUUAUGUAACUGUUAUCACUGAUCCAAUGGAAACAGAAGUGCCUAAAGGGCAGGGUUGAGUGAAUUCUUACAAAGAGUGUAAUUUCUUGCAUAGUCUGAAUUAACAUCCAAAGUCCCUAUUCAUCUUCUUUCUGGUGAAGAGGAAUGGCUGUGUCUGUUGUGUCCGGUGUGGUGACAAGCCUUGGUGACUUGCUCCUACAAGAAGCAAUAUACUUGAUCGAUGUGAGUGACAAAGCUCAUGAGUUACAAACAGAGCUUAUACGGAUGCAAUUCUUUUUGAAAGAUGCAGAUGCGAAGCAGAAUGAAUCAGCGUUUAUAAAGAAUGGCGUUGCAGAAAUGAAAGAUCUUGCUUAUGACGCAGAAGAUGUCAUUGCGACUUAUGCCCUCACAGUUGCAUCCAGAAAGGGAAGAGGCAUACAAAAGGUCCUAAAGAGGUGUGCUUGCAUCUUGGAUGAAGGAAUUACGGUGCACCAGGUUGGGGCAAAGAUUGAUGCUAUCAAGAAGAGAAUUUCUAAUUUGAAACAGAGUUUUCAAGAAUAUGGCAUAAUAAGAGAAUCAACAAUGCAAGCAGGCGGGCCGAGUUCUUUGAAUGAGAGGGAACGAGAGCAAAGGCAAACAUUUUCUCAUCUUCAACAUGAAGUUGUUGGGUUCGACAAUAAUCUAAAUGAAUUGAUGGAGUUUUUGCUGAAAGAAGAGGAAGGCAAAAGAGUUGCUUCAAUAUGUGGUAUGGGUGGUCUGGGAAAGACCACUCUUGCCAAAAUGGUUUAUAACGACCCCAAAGUCAAGCUGCACUUUGAACACCGUGCUUGGGCAUGUAUCUCACAACAAUGUCAAAGAAGACUUGUUUGGGAAGAUAUUCUGAUUAGCCUUCGCUCUGCAGAUGAAAAAGAAAAGAAAAGAAUUCGAAAGUUAACUGUUAAAGAGAUUGUUGAGGAACUUUGCGAAGUUCAGAAGAAGCGUAAGUGUUUGGUGAUUUUAGAUGAUAUUUGGGACGUUGAGACUUGGAACCAUCUACUUGGAGCCUUCUCAGGGAAUGAUACUAAAAGUAAAAUUUUGCUUACCUCUCGCAAUGAAAAAGUGCAUCUACAUGUAGAUCCUGGAGGUUUCCUUUAUAAAUUGCAGCAUCUAGAUGAAACAAGGAGUUUGGAAUUGCUUGAGAAGAUAGCAAUAUCUCGAAGAGAAGACUCUAUGGCCAAAACUUGUAUGAAGCAGUUUGGAAAGGAAAUGAUUGAUUAUUGUGGGGGUUUACCUUUGGCCAUCACUGUACUUGGAGGUCUUUUAGCAACAAAGCAAACUUUGGGAGAAUGGCAGGACGUGCUUAAACAUGCCAAAUCAUACCUUCAUGUGGAAGACUCACGAGUCAACAAUGUGUUAGCUUUAAGUUAUAAUGAUUUACCUUCACACUUGAAACCGUGCUUUCUAUAUUUAGGUCAUUUCCCUGAGGAUUUUGAGAUACAAACAAAAAAAUUGAUUCGAAUGUGGAUGGGUGAAGGUUUUAUAUCACAAAUUCAGCACAGAGGAGGAAGAGAAGAUACAAUGGACGAUGUUGGAGAUCGAUAUUUAAGGGAGCUAGUGCAGAGGUGCAUGGUUCUGGUGGGGAAAGAGGGCUCACUUGGAAGGAUCAAAACUUGCCGAAUGCAUGAUCUUAUGAGAGACUUUUGCGUAUCAAAAGCCCAAGAUGAAAAUUUUCUCCAUUUCACCAAUACUCUUUCCAUGAAACAACGUGAAGUACAAGUUGGUAAAGUUCGAAGACUUGCUAUAAUAUCGGAAUCAGGUGAUAAUUCCAUCAAGCGAAUUAAAUUUAAUGAAUAUCCUUACCUCAGGUCUCUUCUCUACCUUCUGCCUCCGAGUGAUAAAUCUGUUUUUAAUGAGUCAUGUUUCAAAAAAUUCAAGUUGGUUAGAGUCUUACAUCUAGAAUAUUUUAUUAAACACCCAAAAAAAUUACCUAAAGACAUUGGAUGUCUCAUCCACCUGAGAUAUUUAUCUCUGAGAGGAAGCAAUAUAAAUGAGGUGCCAUCGUCUAUUGGCAAUUUGAGAUGCUUGGAGACACUAGAUUUGCGGAUCCGUUACUUCACUGUCCCAUGUAUGCACUUAUAUACGAGAGUGCCAAAUGUGUUCAAGUAUAUGAAACAGUUGAAGCAUCUUUAUUUACCCUACGAAUAUUGGGUAUGUGGUAAGUUGGAAUUGGCUAAUCUUUCUUAUUUGCACACAUUAGUCAAUGUCCAGCCCACUACCAUCCAAAUUCCCACAUGGUUUAAACUCAACCGUCUUCGGGUUCUUAAAGUGAGGAAUAAAUAUAAUAAAUGGGCCCCAGUUGCAAUGCAAAUGCUAAUAUCAAGGUGUCCGCUUAUAGAAAAGCUAAAUUUAAAUUACCGUAUAAAGAAGCUUCCAGAAGCUCACCAAUUCUCUCCAAAUCUUGCCAAGUUGACCUUAUGGAAGACUUCUCUUGAGGAAGAUCCCAUGCCAACCUUAGAGAAGUUGCCCAAUUUAAAAAUCCUCCGCCUCUUACCUCCCUCUUUCGUAAGGAAGGAUAUGGUUUGUUCUAAAGGAGGAUUUCCUUUGCUUCAGUAUCUUCUCCUUGUAAAUGUGAGGUACUUAGAGGAGUGGAGGGUGGAGGAAGGGGCCAUGCCCAGUCUUAGCCAUUUGACAAUUAGCUAUUGCUACGAGUUGAAGACUAUUCCAGAUGGAAUGAGGUUCGUCACCACCCUCCGAGAAUUGGAGAUUCGGGGCAUGCGAAAGUCAUUCAAAGAUAGGCUUGGCGAAGGAGGACCGGAUUUUGACAAAGUCCAACAUGUGCCUUCCCUUGUAUUUGAUGACUGUGACAGAGAUUGAUAAUCAGGUCUCUUUGAACCUACAACCUCUCUGCUCAUUAUAUUACAGGUGAAAUUAUCCAUGGAACAAAAGUUUCUACUCUGCUUCAACUAAUGAAAAAUCAACAAAAUAUUUUCAUUGCUUUACAACUUUGUGAAAUCGUCCAUGGUGCAAAAUUUUCUACUCUGCUUCAACCCAUGAAAAUCAGCAAAAUAUUUUCACUACUUCGCAACUUGUACGGUUGAAAUCAUCCAUGGUCUGCAACUGGUACGGGUUGGUGUCUGUUAUACAAUUUGAAGAAUAUGAUUUCACAGACUCAUUAAACAUAUUCUCAAAUGCCUAUGGGUAGUGAUGUAAAGAAUUGUUUGUUUGGUGAUGUUUCUCUAUGUUGUGAUAUUUUCUUAGGUGGUUUGUUUGCAUUUGUACUGUAUUUGUUUGUGCUGCUUUCUUGUUCUGCUUUUCUGCUUUGCUAUGAUUGCAUUUUUUGUUUGUAUCUUCUGUUGAAUAAAAGAAACCAAUGUAUCAUUGGAGGAGAAAAAUAAUUCUUCAUUUAA
Quercus robur (English oak) is the source of this 3457-nucleotide RNA transcript. It is a transcript of the gene named putative disease resistance protein At1g50180, with no coding region annotated. The transcript is spliced from 6 exons. The record is from RefSeq and is a predicted model, not a curated record. NCBI's taxonomy places the organism in Eukaryota, Viridiplantae, Streptophyta, Magnoliopsida, Fagales, Fagaceae.